Molecule: non-coding RNA, 30 nt
Filed under: Mus musculus (house mouse)
Lineage: Eukaryota; Metazoa; Chordata; Mammalia; Rodentia; Muridae
Source: RNAcentral
UGCCAGCACCAUUUGUUGAAAAUGCUGUGU